Molecule: non-coding RNA, 130 nt
Organism: Populus trichocarpa (black cottonwood)
Lineage: Eukaryota; Viridiplantae; Streptophyta; Magnoliopsida; Malpighiales; Salicaceae
Source: Rfam
CAAUCUAUUUAGAGCAGAUUCUCAUUUAAGCCAUCCACUUUAUCUUAGAAUCAUUUGUUAUUGUAAGUCCAACUACAUCAUUGAUGUUGAAAAACAGAGAACAACUACAGUAUGAACAAUAAUUUUUUUA